ACCCGUGAAGAAAUUUGCAAUGGAUUUUCAGGAUGUGUUUUCGAUGCGGAUCCCUAUGGUUAUUUUGAGUGCAGUAAUGAUGUGGCUGGCAAGGCAAUUUCCAAGGCGUAUAGCAUUCAGACACUCUCCCAGGAUCGUAUGCAGUAUAUAACAUUGAAAUACGA
Molecule: long non-coding RNA, 164 nt
Organism: Musca vetustissima
Lineage: Eukaryota; Metazoa; Arthropoda; Insecta; Diptera; Muscidae
Exons: 2
Source: RefSeq, a predicted model, not a curated record